RNAcentral lists this ribosomal RNA (422 nucleotides) under uncultured Methanoregula sp. RNAcentral's name for it is "bacterial SSU rRNA". It matches the Rfam family "Archaeal small subunit ribosomal RNA", at positions 322 to 748 of the family's 1478-position model. Lineage: Archaea; Methanobacteriati; Methanobacteriota; Methanomicrobia; Methanomicrobiales; Methanoregulaceae. The record is from RNAcentral.
CCUACGGGGGGCAGCAGGCGCGAAAACUUUACAAUGCGGGAAACCGUGAUAGGGGAACUCCGAGUGCCCGUAAAAUCGGGCUGUCCAUCAGUUUAAAUAACUGGUGAAGAAAGGGCCGGGCAAGACCGGUGCCAGCCGCCGCGGUAAUACCGGCGGCUCGAGUGGUGGCCACUAUUACUGGGCUUAAAGCGUUCGUAGCUGGUUUGUUAAGUCCCUGGGGAAAUCUUCCGGCUUAACCGGAAGGCGUCUCAGGGAUACUGGCAGACUAGGGACCGGGAGAGGUGAGGGGUACUCCAGGGGUAGGAGUGAAAUCCUGUAAUCCUUGGGGGACCACCUGUGGCGAAGGCGCCUCACCAGAACGGCUCCGACAGUGAGGGACGAAAGCUGGGGGAGCAAACCGGAUUAGAUACCCGAGUAGUCCG